This 249-nucleotide ribosomal RNA is filed under the name uncultured bacterium. RNAcentral describes it as "partial 16S ribosomal RNA". It matches the Rfam family "Bacterial small subunit ribosomal RNA", at positions 355 to 596 of the family's 1533-position model. The record is from RNAcentral.
UCGAGAAUCAUUCACAAUGGGGGCAACCCUGAUGGUGCAACGCCGCGUGGAGGAAGAAGGUCUUCGGAUUGUAAACUCCUGUCAUCUAGGAGCAAGGCAUGGUGGUGAAUAGCUAACAUGAUUGAUAGUACUAGAAGAGGAAGGGACGGCUAACUUCGUGCCAGCAGCCGCGGUAAUACGAAGGUCCCGAGCGUUAUUCGGAAUCACUGGGCGUAAAGGGAGCGUAGGCGGCGUGGAAAGUCAGAUGGG